AAAUCAAAUAAAUCAUACUAUAUAUAUAUAUAUAUAAAUGUAUAAAAUAUACACACACAAUUAGCUUUGAAGGAUAGAUUUUCCUCAUUUUGACACUGAUAAAACAAUUAAAUACUAUAAAAAUUCAUCUUAGUAUAGCCAACCUGUGAAAAAACUUGGAGGAAACUUAAAGUCAUAUUGCUAAGUGAAAGAAACUGAUCUGAAAAGGUUGCAUACUGUCAUAUGAUUCUAACUAUAUGACAUUCCAGAAAAGGCAAAGCUAUGGAGAUAGUUAAAAAGAUCAGUGAUUUCCAGAAGGAGGAAAGAACAGGCAGAGCACAGGGUAUAUUCAGGGCAGUGACAAUAGUCUGUAUGAUACUAUAAUGGUGAACACAUCUCGUUAUACAUCUGUCUAGACCCAUGGAAUGCGCAACACCAAGAGUGAACUCUAAUGCAAACUAGGGCUUUUUGUUCAUCAUAAUCUAUCAGUAUUGGUUCCUUAUUUGUAACAAGUGUACUACAAUACUGCAAGAUAUUAACAACAGAAGAAACUGUAGGGGAAGGUAAGGGCUAAAUGGAAACUCUCUGUACUUUCUGCUCAACUUUUCUGUAAACUUAAAGCUGCUCUAAAGAUAACAUUUAUUAGUUAAAAAAUUUUAAAAGAUCAGUUGACUAUACAAGCACAUCUUUAGGGUUCUGAACAAAAACCUAUUUCUGAAAUACUGAAUUUGUACGGGGAAAAAAGCAAUAUUCAAUUAAAUAUGAUUGACUUACUAAAACAUUACGUUAGGAACAAAAAUGUAACAUUUAUUCCAAGAAUAUCUUCUGGGAUCAGCUCCAUUCUACUUCCACCAUGCCUACAUUUUCUAAUUCUACUCUAGUUAUGAAUAAACAUGAAGCUUGAUACUCAGGAGUGAAUACGCCCACGGCUUAAGCUGAUUCUAGGUUCUAAUAGAAACAACUCGUAGCUUGAAAGAGGUGUUGUUCUUUUACAAUAAAGCAGAAUCUGGUUCAAUAAUGUAAAAGCAGAGGUAGUCCUGCAGGAAUUAGACUGUGUCAUUUGAUUUUUAUGGGAGUUAUUGUCUAAUGAGAGUUAAUGAUUAAGCACAUUUGGUUGUAUUGUCUUUUGGUUGUUAACCUAUUCUACAAAGUUUAUUACAAAAAAAAAAAAACAAGAAAAGCAUUUCACUUUCAACAUUUUAAGUGAUGCUAUGUUGGAGUCUGUUUCUAAUUAUUUUAAGUUAAAAAUUUUACAUUUUAACAGAUUUUUUUAAAAAUCAGCGUUAUUUUUUAUAAAUAGAAAUCUAUGAACUAAUAGUAUUGAAAAUGUUUUGUACUAAAUAAAGGGAGGCAAAAGCAAAAGUAACUCAGAAAACACCAGGAAGCUACUUUCCUUUCACUCCGCUUUGUGAAUCAAAGUUGAAAAGAAAACCAAUAACAUCAUUGAUAAAUUUAAAAUGAGAAUUUUUUAAUUUUAUUUUUGUCAUGAUAGAAUCGCUAAAUCAACUCUGAGCCUGCUCCUUUAACGUGGAAAUGACUGCAACCAGUAGUACAAAAUUAUGGAAAAAAAAUUCACCAAAUGGGAUUUCAUUUUAAAAUGCAGAUCCCAUUUGAAGAGCUUCACAAAGGAACACUGCCUCUGACAAGUGGAGAAAAAUCUACCCUUCAAAGCUAA
RNAcentral lists this long non-coding RNA (1654 nucleotides) under Homo sapiens (human). Its description in RNAcentral is "long non-coding RNA NONHSAT211201". Lineage: Eukaryota; Metazoa; Chordata; Mammalia; Primates; Hominidae. The record is from RNAcentral.